UUACAUUGAAUACUACUACAGCUUGAUUAUAUAAAUUAUUGUAAUUAUAUCUCCAAUAAACUCCAAAAAAAUUGGAAGGGGCUCAGAUAGUGAUGAUGACUGGGGUUAUGGAAAUACUGUGACAACAUACAUUUCCCAUGAAUAA
Telopea speciosissima is the source of this 145-nucleotide long non-coding RNA. RefSeq lists it as uncharacterized. The transcript has 3 exons. NCBI's taxonomy places the organism in Eukaryota, Viridiplantae, Streptophyta, Magnoliopsida, Proteales, Proteaceae. The record is from RefSeq and is a predicted model, not a curated record.